UGUUCCCUGACUGGCCCACUUCCUCAUUCUCUUCUCUGCAGGAGGCUUCCCAAAUGGUGGAGGAUGUUUUGAUGCUUGGAAGAGGAAAGCAAUACACAGUCUUUCCUCUGGUUACUGCAGCAAGAGAGUUCUCCAGCCUGAUUUGCCUUCUGCUUUCAUAUGGAGACAAAAGGAGGCUCCAUGAGUCAGUGCCCACAGAGUCA
This 203-nucleotide long non-coding RNA is filed under the name Ictidomys tridecemlineatus (thirteen-lined ground squirrel). RNAcentral describes it as "lncRNA (ENSSTOG00000031052.1)". Lineage: Eukaryota; Metazoa; Chordata; Mammalia; Rodentia; Sciuridae. The record is from RNAcentral.